UUUUUCUUCAAUAGGUGUAAGAAAUUUAAGUUUCUACAUCAUGAGUUCAGUAUUCUAGGCGGCAAAUCGACAUGUCUCUAUAAAUAUUGAGGUGCUGAUGUAUUUUGAGAUGGAGGCAAUCAGAGAACUUGAGAGGGUUGUGGACAGUGCUUAGCACACAGGUGUCGCACACCACACUACCCAGGGCCUGCCUUGGCUGGUGGCUCUUCUGGACAGCAGGGAACUUUGAGACCACUCCCCGAGGACCCAGGGCGCCCCAAGAGACAGCGGGUUGGAAGCGGGUAGAGUGGACAGAAGUAGAGACGGCGGGAGCUGCGGGUGGCGGCAGCAGCGCCCAGGGUCCGAGGCCCUCGGGUCCUCUGGGCUGCGGGACGCAGAGACUUUGAGGAGGAGCGCGAGCGUCCCCCCGCCCCUCCUGCCUCCACGCGGGGCGCGCCGGGAUCGGGGGCGGGGGGGGGGGUGGUGGUCCGAGAGCGCCCCCCUCUCCCACGCGGGCCUCGCGGGGCGGUGAGUCAAGGCCGGGAGCCGAGCCGCUCUCCCCGGCAGACCCGACCGAGGCGCGGGCGGCGGCGCGCAGGACGGGGAUCCGAGACGCGCUCCCGCCGCCCCAGCUGCGCCGCGCUCCCGGCCACAAGUUUGCCCCGCGUUGGCCAAGUUGCGAGUGGGGAGCCUCUCCGGGCUCCGGGGUGAGCGUCCGUCUUCUCGCUCGGGCUGGUCCGGGCAUGGCCGGGCCGGGAGCCUCGCCCCACGUCUGGGGGUGGCUGCUGCUCGGAGGUUGCCUUCUCGUCGGAGCCCAGGUCAUUUUAUUUUCAAAACAACACAUUGACUGAGAUGCUGAGCACAAUAUUUAUUGUGAAUGUCCGCAAGUACUCACCAUCCCUGAGCCUCUUUCCUCAUGUGCAAUGGAAACCUUGAAAGAAUGGUGUCUGGAAGAAAUGAGACAACAGGUGCAAAAGCCAGAGCACGUCCAGUAUCUGUGCUCAAUGGGCAGCUGCUUCAUUUAGAGAGAGAGCCUUUCUCGUUAUACAUACUCAUCUAGGUACUUAAAAAGAAAAAGUGAAAGAUGAAUAAGACAUGUCCCCAGCUUUGGAAGAACCCACAAUCUAGCAGAUGGGACAGAAAACCAAUCAGAGCAUUAGAGUAAAGCAGAUAAGUGCCAGGAGGGGGUGUAUAUACAAAGUGCUGUGGGGAUGUGGGAGAGAAGAUUGCUUUAGCUUCAGGCAAAGUCAAAGAGGUUUUAAAGGAAUGAUGUUUCACAAAUCAAUCAAUGUGAUACAUCACAUUAAUAAAAGAAAAGAUAAGAACCAUAUGAUCCUGUCAAUCGAUGCAGAAAAAGCAUU
Long non-coding RNA from Felis catus (domestic cat), 1340 nucleotides. RefSeq lists it as uncharacterized. The transcript has 3 exons. Lineage: Eukaryota; Metazoa; Chordata; Mammalia; Carnivora; Felidae. The record is from RefSeq and is a predicted model, not a curated record.